GGGUGAGUAACACGUAUCCAACCUGCCGAUAACUCCGGGAUAGCCUUUCGAAAGAAAGAUUAAUACCGGAUAGCAUACGAAUAUCGCAUGAUAUUUUUAUUAAAGAAUUUCGGUUAUCGAUGGGGAUGCGUUCCAUUAGUUUGUUGGCGGGGUAACGGCCCACCAAGACUACGAUGGAUAGGGGUUCUGAGAGGAAGGUCCCCCACAUUGGAACUGAGACACGGUCCAAACUCCUACGGGAGGCAGCAGUGAGGAAUAUUGGUCAAUGGGCGAGAGCCUGAACCAGCCAAGUAGCGUGAAGGAUGAAGGCUCUAUGGGUCGUAAACUUCUUUUAUAUGGGAAUAAAGUAUUCCACGUGUGGAAUUUUGUAUGUACCAUAUGAAUAAGGAUCGGCUAACUCCGUGCCAGCAGCCGCGGUAAUACGGAGGAUCCGAGCGUUAUCCGGAUUUAUUGGGUUUAAAGGGAGCGUAGGUGGAUUGUUAAGUCAGUUGUGAAAGUUUGCGGCUCAACCGUAAAAUUGCAGUUGAAACUGGGAGUCUUGAGUACAGUAGAGGUGGGCGGAAUUCGUGGUGUAGCGGUGAAAUGCUUAGAUAUCACGAAGAACUCCGAUUGCGAAGGCAGCUCACUAGACUGUUACUGACACUGAUGCUCGAAAGUGUGGGUAUCAAACAGGAUUAGAUACCCUGGUAGUCCACACAGUAAACGAUGAAUACUCGCUGUUUGCGAUAUACAGUAAGCGGCCAAG
Molecule: ribosomal RNA, 745 nt
Filed under: uncultured bacterium
Lineage: Bacteria
Description: bacterial SSU rRNA
Rfam family: Bacterial small subunit ribosomal RNA
Source: RNAcentral